This 3803-nucleotide long non-coding RNA is filed under the name Zea mays. Its description in RNAcentral is "long non-coding RNA (ZMAY_LNC000904)". Lineage: Eukaryota; Viridiplantae; Streptophyta; Magnoliopsida; Poales; Poaceae. The record is from RNAcentral.
CUGACAUCAAGCAUGAAACAACAUGUAAUGAAGCUCAAAGCAUGUCAUAGUUGCAAUCAACACUCCAAUUUCACACCAUCAAAUUUGGAUGCAGCUAUACAUCAACAUCAAUGUCUUAAGACAACACUCUUUUAUGAAGGGGUAAUAUGCACCAAGCACAACCCUUACCAACUUCAACCAUUAAUUUUAAUUAAAUGGUGAAACAUCUACACCCGACGAAUGUAUAAGAAGAUCAAACACCUCACCUUAAAGCACUAUGAAACAAGUAGUUCUAUUGGAACAAAACUCCUAAUCUUCCUAAACCUUAUUCUUGCCAUCAUGAAAAUAUAAUCAUGUAAUCUAACAUUCCUUGCACCCCACCAAAAGGGAGAAAAUCUAUAGAACUAAUGGAGCAAUAAAGCCAAAAGAAGUCAAUAACAUCUUAUGCGGCAUAGUUCAUCGAAGAAAUGCCAAAAACUCUACAUAGAGCACUGAUAGCCCAACAACAACACAAUACUUGCUUAACCCAUGUCACUAUACUUCAUUCAACAUCUCAACUAAGAAAAAUAUCCAACUAGUAAGGAUAACCUACACAUAAUAUAAGUCUUCAUCUACUGUAGUUCAGAAACUUACAUUUCAUUCUAUCAUACGAUGCACUCAAAGUACCAGACAUACAAAGUCAAGUAAAGCCAGAGCUUUCUUCAGUAAGGUCCUGAUCUCUGAGGUUGGAAAUGGGUAUAGUACCCUUUUCUGGUCUGAUAAUUGGCUGCAGGGUAAAAGCAUCUCGACCAUUGCCCCUAGUCUGCAUUCUAUAAUCCCAAAGAGGAUAGCAAAAAGUAGAACAGUCCAUGAGGCAUUGCUAAACAGAAGAUGGAUAUCUGACAUUAGAGGUAGUCUCACUGUUGGAGUUUUGGCGGAUUAUUUAAAGCUCUAGGAUUGUCUCUCUGAAAUUGAGCUACACCCCCUCACUGAAGACAGGCAUAUCUUUAGUGUAGCCCCAGAUGGAAAGUAUUCAGCUAAAACAGCUUACAAGGGCCUCUUCCUGGGUUCAUGCUCAUUUGGCCACUAUAAGCGGGUUUGGAAAACUUGGGCUCCAGCAAAAUGUCGUUUCUUCCUCUGGCUGGUGGCUCAUAACAGGUGCUGGACUGCUGACAGAUUGGAAAAAAGGGGGCUCAUUCAUCCAAGCACCUGUCCAUUAUGUGACCAAGAACCUGAAUCCAUUAACCACCUACUGGUCUCAUGUGUGUUUGCAAGGAGUUUCUGGUAUAAUCUGCUUAGAAAAUUUGGGUUGGAUAACCUUGCUCCCCAACCGGGCCUAACAUCCUUUCUGGAAUGGUGGGAGACAGCUUCUGAAACAGUUCAUGGAAUGACCAAGAACGGAUUGAGCUCUCUGAUCUCUUUGGGGGCCUGGAUGAUCUGGAAUCACCGUAAUAGAUGUGUGUUUGAUGGUCAAGCUCCCAGUCUCCCAUCUAUCCUUCGGCAGGCAGACGACGAGAGACGUCUUUGGGAAUUAGCUGGGGCCAAGGGUCUCUCCUUUUUGGCAGCCCCUCAUCUCUAGUAGUGUUUUUGAGUCCGGUUUCCAUGGAUUCUUUCGCUUAUGUGCGUUACUGGCCUCCGUAAGGAGUCAUUGCUGUAAUCUGUGGUCUAUUUUAGACCUUAUUAUCUCCUUCUUAAUAUAUUUAAGGCGCAGUUCCCCUGCGCUUUCGAGAAAAAAAAACAAAGUCAAUAAUAAUAACCCCUAAUCCUUCACACAUUUGACAAACAUAUUAAGCUGAUGUAAACACCACAUGAUCUAGGAAUAGGUGACUAGCCACACCCAACCAACUCUAGGCUAGGCAAGGACUUCCUUCAAACCAAUAGAUAGGUGGUCUAAAAAAAAUGGCUCCACAAGCAUGCAUCGAAAAGGGAACCAUCAGAUCCUCAAUGUAUCAAUACAUAAUCAAUGGAUCAAGAGAAUCAAAGAUUUAUUCUACAAUUAGUAUGACUAACAGGCAACCACUUUAAACCACAUCUAGGCUUUGUGGCAACUAAAACACACAAUAUGAGAGAGACAUGUAAGCCAUUCUGGCUAUGAAAAGACUUCCCCCAAAAAUCCAUAUAAAGUACCAAUAUUCAUUUCUUUCAAAACUGGUUUCUCAACAUAAACAAUCAUUCUUUGCAAUGAUAGUUGGAGCUAUCCACCAACCGCUCAACAACUUAAAUUCAAAUUGAUGAUUACCUUGUACCCCAAAACACGCAAUUCACACUCCUCUUAGAAACAUCCACAAUCAAGCAUAUAUAACAAUAUUAUUGUAAUAAAACUCAACCAUGAAAAACAUGGUGAAAACAACAUAGGCAUACUUGUAUAUCACAAGCAUAAUAAUAACUUUAUUCUCACCAAUGACCAGCGAUAUCUACCGCAUUAAUAAAACAAUAUCAAAAUUUCAGAAAUAAAUUAUAUCAAGCAUUAAGCCAUAAACAACUUACCACAUCACCGUAAAGGAAUAGGGAGGGGUGAAACUAUUGUCAUCUGCACUCCAAAGACAUUAAUAUAUAUCAAAGAUAUUUGAACCCAUACCCUUCCUAUAUGUGCAAGUGUGUCAAAUUUAUCUUCAAAUUGCCAAGAAUCUAAAGCCUAUGCUUUGAUACCAACUAUAACACCCCGGGAUCCACAAACACCCCAGAAUGCUACUAAACUACACAUCUAAUAUUCAUAUAUAAAAUUUCGACAGCAUCUCCUUUGAAAAUUGCAUAAACGGGGAAAGCAACAAAGUAUAAAUAGAUAUCAUGAUAAGAAAACAUAUAAGACAUUAAUAAUCUGCUAGCAAUGGGAAGACAACCAUAACAACAUGAACUGAAUUAAUCAGUGCGCACGACUAGUUAAAAACAAACAUCCUUUGACAAGAAGUUUCUAAUUAAAUCAUGGCUGCGUCUGGGCAGCAUUAUUAUGAGAAUGAAGGUGGAUGUGCUGCUACUUCCCACUCCCCUUGAUGAGCAACAAGCACCUGCAUUGAGUAAUGCAAGAGUGAGAUGAAACAUCUCAGCAAGCUAAUUGUUCUGACGAGAUAUUUAAACCACAAAUUGAAUUCAUCAACAUUUUAAAAGAGUCACAAUUAAAAAUCAGAAAUGCUUGUAGAUAUAGAACUCAGUAGUCCCACUAUAACCAAUACCAUCUCAUUUCCUCGAACAACCACAAUAGGUUCUAUAACACUUCCCUGCGUCAACAAUACCUGCAAAUAUCACUUCAAUGUAUGCAUAGGAAUGCAAUGUGUAGGUACUCUAUCUUCAUACCUCUGGGGGUAUAAAACCACAUCAUCUGCAAAUAUCACUUCAAUGAAUGCAUAUGAAUGCAAUGCAUAUGUCCUCUGCCUUCAUACCUCUAAGGGUAUGAAGCCGCAUCGUACCCCUUCUCGGGCAACGUACGAUGCUAAGUUGUACCGGUACGGUCGGACCAUAGGUCACGACAAAACUUCAUAUGCAAAUGAGUCAUGCAAUGUAUAUGGCAUGCUACAUUUAUCAAUAAACUUCACUUCCUUCAGAUACAACACAAACCUCAAAUAAUACUUCAUUUACCUUCAGAUACAAUACCAACCUCAAAUAAUACUUCAUUUACCUUCAGGGGUGUGAAUUAAUCUCAUGAGUCAUACUCAAAUCAUAAUCAUCAUCAAUAUAUGAUUGAGCAUCAGUAUAAUGCAAGCAAGUAAAGCAUCACCAUAGAGUCCAAUUAUGAAAGAAUCUGAUACUUCUGAAUAUUAGAGUGUAGGCGAUAGAAAUAACAGGUCAGAACGGAAGCAACCACCGCUACAUUCACUUGCCUUCAUCGAAGAAGAAGAAAUGUACUAGAC